UUAAAUGGCCGCAGUAUAUUAACUGUGCUAAGGUAGCAUAAUCACUAGUUUUUUAAUUGAAAGCUGGAAUGAAGGGUUGGAUGAAAAAAAAACUGUCUCUUAAUUAAGUUAAAUUGAAUUUUAUUUUUAAGUCAAAAAGCUUAAAUACUGUUAAAAGACGAGAAGACCCUAUAGAGUUUUAUAUAUAAAUAUAUUUUUUUGUUUAGCAUUAAUUUAGAUAAUAUAUUUAUUUAUUUAAUUGGGGUGAUUAAAAAAUUUAAUUAACUUUUUUUUUAUUGAAAUAUUUUUAGAUAAUUUCUUGAUCUUUUUUUAAUGAUUAUAAGAUAAAAUUACCUUAGGGAUAACAGCGUAAUUUUGUCGGAGAGUU
Molecule: ribosomal RNA, 367 nt
Filed under: Cneorane fokiensis
Lineage: Eukaryota; Metazoa; Arthropoda; Insecta; Coleoptera; Chrysomelidae
Description: partial 16S ribosomal RNA
Source: RNAcentral